RNAcentral lists this long non-coding RNA (495 nucleotides) under Corvus moneduloides (New Caledonian crow). Its description in RNAcentral is "lncRNA (ENSCMUG00000017458.1)". Lineage: Eukaryota; Metazoa; Chordata; Aves; Passeriformes; Corvidae. The record is from RNAcentral.
ACGGCCCCGCUUGGGCCCCGAGGACCGCGCCCGCUCGGGGGCUGCUCCCGCGGCUCCCCCGCCCCGGUGCGCGGUGCCGCUCCGCCUCCGCGGGCAGUGCGCAUGCAUGAGGCGGCUGCCCAGCCCGUGAGUCACGGCUCCGCUGCACAGCCGCUCCCCAGCAGCAGCGGAAAGGCGGCCACCAUGAACCGCUUGGGGAAGAAAGCAAAUGAGACGCUCAUCGAGAUGGCUCUGUCGGCGGACGAUGACAUUGCGAUUCUCACCAAGUUCAAGCCAUCACAGUCAGAAGGGGAAGAGUGCAACGGACCUUUAAGUGAAACUAUUUCAACUGCAGGAUCAGAAAUCCCAAGCAGCUCUGAGGGCCUAAACAGCACUGAGACUACUUUACUCAUCCCUGAACAUCAAGUGAUUGAUAAAAGACAUCAAAGCAAAGAUUCUAUUUUCUUCAGGGAUGGUGUCAGGAGAAUUGAUUUUGUUUCUCUCCUAUGUGGAUGA